AGUUUGAUCAUGGCUCAGAUUGAACGCUGGCGGCAUGCCUUACACAUGCAAGUCGAACGGUAACGGGCCUUCGGGUGCCGACGAGUGGCGAACGGGUGAGUAAUGCAUCGGAACGUACCUUUCAGUGGGGAUAACGUAGCGAAAGUUACGCUAAUACCGCAUAUUCUGUGAGCAGGAAAGCAGGGGAUCGCAAGACCUUGCGCUGAUUGAGCGGCCGAUGUCAGAUUAGCUAGUUGGUGAGGUGAAGGCUCACCAAGGCGACGAUCUGUAGCGGGUCUGAGAGGAUGAUCCGCCACACUGGAACUGAGACACGGUCCAGACUCCUACGGGAGGCAGCAGUGGGGAAUUUUGGACAAUGGGGGCAACCCUGAUCCAGCCAUGCCGCGUGAGUGAAGAAGGCCUUCGGGUUGUAAAGCUCUUUCGGCCGGGAAGAAAUCGCAUGGGUUAAUACCCUGUGCGGAUGACGGUACCGGCAUAAGAAGCACCGGCUAACUACGUG
This 499-nucleotide ribosomal RNA is filed under the name uncultured bacterium. Its description in RNAcentral is "bacterial SSU rRNA". It matches the Rfam family "Bacterial small subunit ribosomal RNA", at positions 10 to 507 of the family's 1533-position model. The record is from RNAcentral.